UACGUAGGGGGCGAGCGUUGUCCGGAUUUAUUGGGCGUAAAGAGCGUGUAGGCGGUUCGGUAAGUCUGUCGUGAAAUCCUGAGGCUCAACCUCGGGCGUGCGAUGGAUACUGCCGGGCUAGAGGGUGGUAGAGGCGAGUGGAAUUCCCGGUGUAGUGGUGGAAUGCGUAGAUACCGGGAGGAACACCAGUGGCGAAGGCGGUUACUUGGAGCUUUGCUGACGCUGAUGCGCGAAAGCGUGGGGAGCGAUCCGG
This 253-nucleotide ribosomal RNA is filed under the name uncultured bacterium. RNAcentral's name for it is "partial 16S ribosomal RNA". It matches the Rfam family "Bacterial small subunit ribosomal RNA", at positions 524 to 776 of the family's 1533-position model. The record is from RNAcentral.